Long non-coding RNA from Episyrphus balteatus (marmalade hoverfly), 1180 nucleotides. RefSeq lists it as uncharacterized. NCBI's taxonomy places the organism in Eukaryota, Metazoa, Arthropoda, Insecta, Diptera, Syrphidae. The record is from RefSeq and is a predicted model, not a curated record. The transcript is spliced from 3 exons.
UGGCCGACUUGAGAAAAUAAAGUAUAUCCAUACUCUUCACUCUCCCUUUAGAGUGAGAUAAAUCGUGUUUGUGGUUAAGUGUCAAAAUUAAUUGUGUAAAUAUAUAAAAGAAAACUCAACGUGGUGGAAGAUGGGCAACAGGUCUUUGUUUUAGUUUCUGAGGAACAUCAAAGAAAAGGUGCAGGAUAUAUUCUCGGAAUGCAACUAUGCUUGUAAUUAUUGUAUCUAUGAAUAUAAUAUGCAUUCAGAAACAGGGGAAACUGGAUGGAUGGAUCGAGGAUCACAUAAUGUUGCUGGAUAGGUUGAGGGGGUGUGUAUGAUCACCUCCUCCCUACACUUAUGUAUGAUGAUAGUAGAUUAGUUAUGGCAUGAGUAGUUAGUUUAUAUUUAAGUUAUUAUUAUUAAGUUUUAUUUUAAUUAUGAUGGUAGUUAGAUAUGUGCAUGUUAGUUUUUAAGUAUGAAUUUUAAUGAUAAAAAUGCCGCCAUUGCCACGUUACAAGCUCGAUGAUUAUGGCUGAGUGGUCGUGAGGUCAUGAGCAUCGUAAAAAGAAGUGGAUCUGGUGGUAUUAUUGACCUAUUAAUGAAUUUUAAAUCAUUCAACGUGUGGCAAGAGCCCCGCCCUGAACUCUCCCGCUCUACUGAUUAAGCCGGGCAUUUAUUAUGACAAAUAGUGCGAUUAUACACUGACAGAAUUUUUCGAUUUUUUUUUUUUUUUUUUUUUUUGUUGUGAUGAAGAUUAGUCGGAACAUUUUUGGUUGACAAAAAAAAAUUCGUUACGUAGGUAUCUCAGUGGAGGGAAUUUAUACAAAAAAAAUUUUCUUAGUAUCACAGAUGUUUGUUCUUAAAACUAUAUUGCACAUUAAAAUUAAAAAAAAAUGAAAUUGACUAUAAAAGUAAAUACAAAUUUAAAAGACAAAGCUAAAUAAAUAAAAGUAAAUCUCUGAUACUAAAUAAAUACAUAUAAAAUAAUCGGAUAAAUAUCGGACAUGCAAAAAUAUCACAGAAUUGUAUCACAGUUGUAUAUCACAGAUGUAGAGGUGUAAGUUUUACACAAAAAUAAGAGUGAUUCUAACUUCAAAGGAAGUUUAUCACAGAAGUAGGGUUUAUAAAAUAAGAGCACAUAAUUCACGAAGUAGUUUUAUCACAGAAUUCAAGAUAUACUAUAGAGACUUGUCUUAGU